RNAcentral lists this small nuclear RNA (229 nucleotides) under Nannospalax galili (Upper Galilee mountains blind mole rat). RNAcentral's name for it is "7SK RNA (ENSNGAG00000009660.1)". The stretch from base 1 to 184 matches the Rfam family "7SK RNA". Rfam says of the family: 7SK was discovered as an abundant small nuclear RNA in the mid-70s but a possible function has only recently been suggested. Two independent studies have found that 7SK RNA binds the CDK9/cyclin T complex (known as elongation factor P-TEFb). P-TEFb activates transcription by phosphorylating the C-terminal domain of RNA polymerase II. The record is from RNAcentral. Lineage: Eukaryota; Metazoa; Chordata; Mammalia; Rodentia; Spalacidae.
GAAUGUUGGGCUAAUUUGGCUGAAGCACCUGUCAGCCUACUGAUUGCCAGCAUGGAUUCAGCUGAUCUAGCUGGCUAGGUGGGCGUCUCCUUCCUCCCUCACUGCUCUAUGUGUAACCCUCCUGAAAGUGGUCAGAGGACACCUUUGUGGAAUUGGUUCUUUCCUCUUUCCUUGGGUUCCAGGGGUCAAACUCAGGUCAGUAGGCUUACACAGAAAGCUCACCAUCUCU